AAAGCGCAGUAGGGGGCUCUCGCGGUUGGGGAACAUAGAUGGCUGGAGACAGAAUCUAGAGCCUUCAAAUAAUGUGGAGAUGUUUCCACCUUCAGGUCAGUGGGACCAGACAAGGGGAGUGGUGGUUGUCUCUGCCUGGGAAACUGACCAUCUUUGUUUUUGUAAUUCUUCAGGUUCCACUGGGCUGAUUCCCCCCUCCCACUUUCAAGCUCGGCCCCUUUCAACUCUGCCAAGAAUGGCUCCCACCUGGCUCUCAGACAUUCCCCUGGUCCAACCCCCAGGCCAUCAAGAUGUCUCAGAGAGGCGGCUAGACACCCAGAGACCUCAAGUGACCAUGUGGGAACGGGAUGUUUCCAGUGACAGGCAGGAGCCAGGGCGGAGAGGCAGCUGUCCUCUUUGACACAGGCUCACGAGGAGGCUCUUUCCAGUUUGACCAGCAAGGCUGAGGGCUUGGAGAAGUCUCUGAGUAGUCUGGAAACCAGAAGAGCAGGGGAAGCCAAGGAGCUGGCCGAGGCUCAGAGGGAGGCUGAGCUGCUUCGGAAGCAGCUGAGGUAGGUGGGCGGAUGCCGACGGGAGCCCAGCAAUUAGUGAUGUGGUGGAUCUGCAGGGCGCCCCACUGAUGGCU
RNAcentral lists this small RNA (625 nucleotides) under Pan troglodytes (chimpanzee). RNAcentral describes it as "retained intron". The record is from RNAcentral. Lineage: Eukaryota; Metazoa; Chordata; Mammalia; Primates; Hominidae.